RNAcentral lists this small nucleolar RNA (130 nucleotides) under Lates calcarifer (barramundi perch). Its description in RNAcentral is "Small nucleolar RNA SNORA63 (ENSLCAG00010006965.1)". Lineage: Eukaryota; Metazoa; Chordata; Actinopteri; Centropomidae. The record is from RNAcentral.
UAGCAGGAUUAGUUACAGUGCAGCUUGUGUGGUGCUGUGCUGUCGUUCCCCCUGCAAACAGUAACCUGUUUCCAGCUAUCCCUGUCUGUCUAAAUACCCCAGGCAACCAGGGACGCAAGGUCUCAGACAU